UAGUGUAGUGGCAGCUAUCAGCUAACGUUGGUAUCUGUAAACUGGACGUGCAAGUGUCUUAAACUCAGUUUUCAGUCCAGGACACGAUAAACAGGUUCGAUACGUAUAAUGGUCGGUCCACAUUUACCGUUUGGUUACUUCCAUCACACCAAACCUAGGUUAAUGACAUACAAACUGUAAAGUCGCUUGUAAUGCCACUGUUAGCUAACUAGCUUGCUGCACUAGUGAUUCAGAUGUAACGUUCAAUAUCCCCACCGCUAUGCAAUAAUCAAUUAUAGCAAACGUAAAAUGACAGAAAAAUAUAUAUAAUUUAUGUUCAGUGCAAGGAAGGUUUGGUAGAAAAACUAUUUCAAUGUUUUAUCUAACGUUACAAAUUCCGUUGAGCUUUCGCAUUUCCUUCUGAUUCCGUAAACAACCGCACUUCCGAGAUUAUAAAUAUACGGGUCGUGAUUUGGGACAAUCUUAAUCGUUUCAGCUGAAUGGGUGUCUGUUAAAGAAUGACGCUUCCUGGUCAGUAUUCAGUACACAGAGCGUUAAUGGUAAUACAUUACUCGUAUAUGUACCAGUUUAUUUAUUUCUUACCAAUUGAUUAAAUAAAAUUGAAAACACACAGUUUGACAUUUAAGUGGAUCACCGGAUAUUCACUCAACUCCCUCCUUCCACCGAAGUGCGUCACACAAAGCAGAGACCGCCGUCUGGUCACGACGGGAAGGAGACAUGCUGAGCCACUUCCUAAUGUCGUGUUUUUAAUAACGUCUCAGUAAAUGUACUGGUAAAAGUAGACUCCUGUCGAAACUUGGACGAACGGUAAAACCAUACCAAAAUGUCGGCGAAUGAUUUUCAGACGAAGUACUCUUCUGUCAUGGAGAGCAUGCUCAAUGCUGCAAUUGCAGAGACUACGAAACUUUUCGAAACUAUGGUCGAUGAGCUGAAGGCAGAACUAUCCAAAAUCAAGAAGGAGAACGAGGAGCUCAAAACAAGAUGCUGCCAGUUUGAGAAAGCGAGAAACCAACCGACUGUUUGUAACGUUACCAGAGAAAGUGAGCAUCUUCCAGGGCCUAGCGACGGCUCCGAGAGACGUGACCGAGCGAUUCAAUGUGACCUUGUUCCUUUCCGCACGGUGCUAGUGGAGCAAUGUCAACCUUUGAGGCCCCAGGAGAUGGAGUACAGUUUGCAGGACCACAACUAUGGAGAGGGAACUACUCAAAUGGCCUUCAUAGUUGUCAAACAAGAGGUGUGUAUAUCUUAGCAAUCAACAAACGUAUUUUAACUUUGAUGUCUUCUUGAAAUUAAAACGUAUAUCAUCCCGCUGCAGGACUCUUAUGAUGAUUCUUCUCCGCAGUCUGUUGUAAAGCAAGAGGAAGUUCAGGCCACUGCGGUUUGCGGGCUAGUCUUGAGCGAUAAAGCAGGUGAGGAAUUAAAACUGACUUUUAUUUUCUCAACUAAAGUUUGAUCAUUUGUAAGCUUUACAAAAUGUUUUGCGGUUCGCUACUCAAUAUUCUUACCUUUUUUAUUUCUUCUCCUGUUUCCUUUGUGACUUCUGUCACUGCGGUGCCUAGAUUCACCACAGGCCUCUGUUUGUGGAGCUGAAAAUGAAGGGCCUCUCCUUAACCAGGAAU
Molecule: long non-coding RNA, 1619 nt
Filed under: Cottoperca gobio
Lineage: Eukaryota; Metazoa; Chordata; Actinopteri; Perciformes; Bovichtidae
Description: lncRNA (ENSCGOG00000019838.1)
Source: RNAcentral